GGGCCCGUAGCCUAGCACGGAUCAGGGCGUCAGCCUGCGAAGCUGGAGACCGAGGGUUCAAAUCCCUCCGGGCCCGCCA
This 79-nucleotide transfer RNA is filed under the name Nitrososphaerota archaeon. RNAcentral describes it as "tRNA-Arg". It matches the Rfam family "tRNA". From Rfam's summary of the family: Transfer RNA (tRNA) molecules are approximately 80 nucleotides in length. Their secondary structure includes four short double-helical elements and three loops (D, anti-codon, and T loops). Lineage: Archaea; Thermoproteati; Nitrososphaerota. The record is from RNAcentral.